This 650-nucleotide ribosomal RNA is filed under the name uncultured Veillonella sp. RNAcentral describes it as "bacterial SSU rRNA". It matches the Rfam family "Bacterial small subunit ribosomal RNA", at positions 28 to 648 of the family's 1533-position model. The record is from RNAcentral. Lineage: Bacteria; Bacillati; Bacillota; Negativicutes; Veillonellales; Veillonellaceae.
GACGAACGCUGGCGGCGUGCUUAACACAUGCAAGUCGAACGAAGAGCGAUGGAAGCUUGCUUCUAUCAAUCUUAGUGGCGAACGGGUGAGUAACGCGUAAUCAACCUGCCCUUCAGAGGGGGACAACAGUUGGAAACGACUGCUAAUACCGCAUACGAUCUAAUCUCGGCAUCGAGGAUGGAUGAAAGGUGGCCUCUAUGUAUAAGCUAUCACUGAAGGAGGGGAUUGCGUCUGAUUAGCUAGUUGGAGGGGUAACGGCCCACCAAGGCGAUGAUCAGUAGCCGGUCUGAGAGGAUGAACGGCCACAUUGGGACUGAGACACGGCCCAGACUCCUACGGGAGGCAGCAGUGGGGAAUCUUCCGCAAUGGACGGAAGUCUGACGGAGCAACGCCGCGUGAGUGAUGACGGCCUUCGGGUUGUAAAGCUCUGUUAAUCGGGACGAAAGGCCUUCUUGCGAAUAGUGAGAAGGAUUGACGGUACCGGAAUAGAAAGCCACGGCUAACUACGUGCCAGCAGCCGCGGUAAUACGUAGGUGGCAAGCGUUGUCCGGAAUUAUUGGGCGUAAAGCGCGCGCAGGCGGAUAGGUCAGUCUGUCUUAAAAGUUCGGGGCUUAACCCCGUGAUGGGAUGGAAACUGCCAAUCUAGAGUA